CGGGACGGGGGAGUAAUGCUUGGGAAUCUAGCUUAUGGAGGGGGAUAACUACGGGAAACUGUAGCUAAUACCGCGUAAUAUCGAAAGAUUAAAGUGUGGGACCUUCGGGCCACAUGCCAUAAGAUGAGCCCAAGUGGGAUUAGGUAGUUGGUGAGGUAAAGGCUCACCAAGCCGACGAUCUCUAGCUGGUCUGAGAGGAUGACUAGCCACACUGGGACUGAGACACGGCCCAG
This 233-nucleotide ribosomal RNA is filed under the name uncultured bacterium. RNAcentral's name for it is "partial 16S ribosomal RNA". It matches the Rfam family "Bacterial small subunit ribosomal RNA", at positions 100 to 334 of the family's 1533-position model. The record is from RNAcentral.